Molecule: ribosomal RNA, 433 nt
Filed under: uncultured bacterium
Lineage: Bacteria
Description: partial 16S ribosomal RNA
Rfam family: Bacterial small subunit ribosomal RNA
Source: RNAcentral
AACGAACGCUGGCGGCAUGCCUAACACAUGCAAGUCGAACGAGACCUUCGGGUCUAGUGGCGCACGGGUGCGUAACGCGUGGGAACCUGCCGUUAUGUUCGGGAUAACUCAGAGAAAUUUGGGCUAAUACCGGAUGAUGUCUUCGGACCAAAGAUUUAUCGCCUUUAGAUGGGCCCGCGUUGUAUUAGCUAGGUGGUGGGGUAAAGGCCUACCAAGGCGACGAUCCAUAGCGGGUCUGAGAGGAUGAUCAGCCACACUGGGACUGAGACACGGCCCAGAAUAUUACGGGAGGCAGCAGUGGGGAAUCUUGGACAAUGGGCGAAAGGCUGAACCAGCAAUGCCGCGUGAGUGAUGAAGGCCUUAGGGUUGUAAAGCUCUUUUACCCGCGAUGAUACUGACAGUAUCGGGAGAAUAAGCUCCGGCUAACUCCGUG